Molecule: ribosomal RNA, 465 nt
Filed under: uncultured Klebsiella sp.
Lineage: Bacteria; Pseudomonadati; Pseudomonadota; Gammaproteobacteria; Enterobacterales; Enterobacteriaceae
Description: bacterial SSU rRNA
Rfam family: Bacterial small subunit ribosomal RNA
Source: RNAcentral
CCUACGGGUGGCUGCAGUGGGGAAUAUUGCACAAUGGGCGCAAGCCUGAUGCAGCCAUGCCGCGUGUGUGAAGAAGGCCUUCGGGUUGUAAAGCACUUUCAGCGGGGAGGAAGGCGGUGAGGUUAAUAACCUCAUCGAUUGACGUUACCCGCAGAAGAAGCACCGGCUAACUCCGUGCCAGCAGCCGCGGUAAUACGGAGGGUGCAAGCGUUAAUCGGAAUUACUGGGCGUAAAGCGCACGCAGGCGGUCUGUCAAGUCGGAUGUGAAAUCCCCGGGCUCAACCUAGGAACUGCAUUCGAAACUGGCAGGCUAGAGUCUUGUAGAGGGGGGUAGAAUUCCAGGUGUAGCGGUGAAAUGCGUAGAGAUCUGGAGGAAUACCGGUGGCGAAGGCGGCCCCCUGGACAAAGACUGACGCUCAGGUGCGAAAGCGUGGGGAGCAAACAGGAUUAGAUACCCGAGUAGUC